UUGAAGAGUUUGAUCAUGGCUCAGAUUGAACGCUGGCGGCAGGCCUAACACAUGCAAGUCGAACGGUAACAGGAAGCAGCUUGCUGCUUCGCUGACGAGUGGCGGACGGGUGAGUAAUGUCUGGGAAACUGCCUGAUGGAGGGGGAUAACUACUGGAAACGGUGGCUAAUACCGCAUAACGUCGCAAGACCAAAGAGGGGGACCUUCGGGCCUCUUGCCAUCAGAUGUGCCCAGAUGGGAUUAGCUAGUUGGUGAGGUAACGGCUCACCAAGGCGACGAUCCCUAGCUGGUCUGAGAGGAUGACCAGCCACACUGGAACUGAGACACGGUCCAGAC
This 336-nucleotide ribosomal RNA is filed under the name Salmonella enterica subsp. enterica serovar London. RNAcentral's name for it is "bacterial SSU rRNA". It matches the Rfam family "Bacterial small subunit ribosomal RNA", at positions 1 to 336 of the family's 1533-position model. Lineage: Bacteria; Pseudomonadati; Pseudomonadota; Gammaproteobacteria; Enterobacterales; Enterobacteriaceae. The record is from RNAcentral.